GAUGAAGAACGUAGCGAAAUGCGAUACGUAAUGUGAAUUGCAGAAUUCAGUGAAUCAUCGAAUCUUUGAACGCAUAUUGCGCUCUCUGGUAUUCCGGAGAGCAUGCUUGUUUGAGUAUCAGUAAACACCUCAACUCCCCUUUCUUUUUUUGAAAUGGGAGCUGGACUUGAGUGAUCCCAACGCUUUUCUCACCGAAAAGUGGCGGGUUACUUGAAAUGCAGGUGCAGCUGGACUUUUCUCUGAGCUAAAAGCAUAUCUAUUUAGUCUGCCUAAAAAACAGAUUAUUACCUUUGCUGCAGCUAACAUAAAGGAGAUUAGUUCUUGUGCUGACUGAUGCAGGAUUCACAGAGACAGCUUCGGCUGGCCUUUGUAAACUCGAUCUCAAAUCAAGUAAGACUACCCGCUGAACUUAAGAAUAUCAAUAAGCGGAGGA
Molecule: unclassified non-coding RNA, 433 nt
Filed under: soil metagenome
Description: partial contains 5.8S ribosomal RNA, internal transcribed spacer 2, and large subunit ribosomal RNA
Rfam family: 5.8S ribosomal RNA (bases 1-120)
Source: RNAcentral